GACGAACGCUGGCGGCGUGCCUAAUACAUGCAAGUUGAGCGAUGAAGAUUGGUGCUUGCACCAAUUUGAAGAGCAGCGAACGGGUGAGUAACGCGUGGGGAAUCUGCCUUUGAGCGGGGGACAACAUUUGGAAACGAAUGCUAAUACCGCAUAACAACUUUAAACAUAAGUUUUAAGUUUGAAAGAUGCAAUUGCAUCACUCAAAGAUGAUCCCGCGUUGUAUUAGCUAGUUGGUGAGGUAAAGGCUCACCAAGGCGAUGAUACAUAGCCGACCUGAGAGGGUAAUCGGCCACAUUGGGACGGAGACACGGCCCAAACUCCUACGGGAGGCAGCAGUAGGGAAUCUUCGGCAAUGGACGAAAGUCUGACCGAGCAACGCCGCGUGAGUGAAGAAGGUUUUCGGAUCGUAAAACUCUGUUGGUAGAGAAGAACGUUGGUGAGAGUGGAAAGCUCAUCAAGUGACGGUAACUACCCAGAAAGGGACGGCUAACUACGUG
RNAcentral lists this ribosomal RNA (497 nucleotides) under uncultured bacterium. Its description in RNAcentral is "partial 16S ribosomal RNA". It matches the Rfam family "Bacterial small subunit ribosomal RNA", at positions 28 to 507 of the family's 1533-position model. The record is from RNAcentral.